UAACAAGGAUUCCCCUAGUAACGGCGAGCGAAGCGGGAAGAGCUCAAAUUUGAAAGCUGGCACCUUUGGUGUCCGCGUUGUAAUCUCGAGACGUGUUUUCCGUGUGGCGCUAUGGACAAGUCCCUUGGAACAGGGCAUCGUAGAGGGUGAAAAUCCCGUACUUGCCAUGGAUGUACCAUGCUUUGUGAUACACGCUCUAAGAGUCGAGUUGUUUGGGAUUGCAGCUCAAAAUGGGUGGUAGACUCCAUCUAAAGCUAAAUAUCGGGGAGAGACCGAUAGCGAACAAGUACCGUGAGGGAAAGAUGAAAAGCACUUUGGAAAGAGAGUUAAAAGUACGUGAAAUUGUCGAAAGGGAAGCGCUUGAAGUCAGCCAUGCUGCUUGAGACUCAGCCUUGCUUUUGCUUGGUGUAUUUCUCGGUAGCAAGCCAGCAUUGGUUUGAGUCGUCGGAGAAGGGUACGAGGAAUGUGGCAUCUUCGGAUGUGUUAUAGACUUGUACUGGAUACGACGAUUUGGAUCAAGGAACGCAGUGUGCCUCUGGCGGGUCUUCGGACACCUUCACACUUAGGAUGCUGGCGUAAU
This 580-nucleotide ribosomal RNA is filed under the name Malassezia pachydermatis. Its description in RNAcentral is "eukaryotic LSU rRNA". It matches the Rfam family "Eukaryotic large subunit ribosomal RNA", at positions 66 to 635 of the family's 3401-position model. The record is from RNAcentral. Lineage: Eukaryota; Fungi; Basidiomycota; Malasseziomycetes; Malasseziales; Malasseziaceae.